Molecule: long non-coding RNA, 1268 nt
Filed under: Sarcophilus harrisii (Tasmanian devil)
Lineage: Eukaryota; Metazoa; Chordata; Mammalia; Dasyuromorphia; Dasyuridae
Description: lncRNA (ENSSHAG00000027901.1)
Source: RNAcentral
AGGGAAAGAAGGGGAGAGGAAGAGAAGGAGGGAGGGAAAGAAGGGGAGAGGGAGAGACCCAGAUCUAGACUGUGCCCCCCAAGGAAUAGAUAGUUUGACAGAAUACUUAGCAGUAUAGGGACAGAAAAGAAUGACAUGAUUUCUAGGAACAUAGCCACAUAGCCAGAGCAACAGAAAAUGAAGAAAGGAAUUCAUUUAGAACAAAGGAAUUGGGUAGAGUUCUAAGAAGAAAGCACUAGUCACCAACGAGCUGCUAAAGAAAUUGGCUGACUAUAAUGAGAUAGGACCAAUUCUAGAUCAAGUUUGUUCCAGCCUCUCAUUUCAGCACUCUGGCCAAGUCCCGGCCCUCACUGUGGUCUAAGGGAAACAAUUAUCUUGAAUAUCUUUCUCCUAAGGCUUUUAUAGGAGGGAAAGUAUGAUUACUAUAGGGAGUUUCACUGAUAACUAAGUCAUUAGCUGAUUAGCCAAGUGUUAGCUGAUAAGUAAGGUGUCAGCUGAUGGCUCUGAUAGUUAGCUGAUAAAUAAGGUGUUAUUUAAUAACCAAUCAGCUGAUAACUGAGAUUUGCUGAUAAGUAAUGUUAGCUGAUAAGUUAAAGUUUGCUGAUAGGAACAUAAGCGAGAAACUUCUGGGCUGGUAAUCCAUUAGCUGAUAACUAAUGAAUUUAGCUGAUAAUCAAGGUAACUGAUAGCAACAUAUUGGUUAAUAACUAAGGUGUUAAGUGAUAUCAGGGAUGUGACCUCCUUCUCCUGGGUAUUGUAUUUUUUAAUGAGAUCUCAGAAGUCAUAAAAUCCAACUGCUUCACUUUUCAGAUGAAGAAACUGGGACCCAGGAGGUUAAAUAAUUUGCUUGACCCACAGUGACAGAGCUGAAAUUUGAACCUAAGUCACUUCUUACUGUAUUAUGUAAAACUGAAUAAAAGAAUCCUUCAGCACCUUAGAAAAUGAAUCACUCACGAUAGAAUUUUAUACCAAUGUGGGUUGAUAUGUUGGGGAUAGUGGGGCCUGCCCAAAACCCCUCAAGUCAUACCAGGUGCCUACUAGUCUGUAAGGUCAGCUAGCAGUACAUAUAUGUAGUAUAGCCACAAAAAUACAGCAAGACAGAUGAUGUUGAAUUACACACAAAGAAAGAUGCAUACAUAUAUUCACUUACAGACACAAACACACACACCCAGUCCCACUUACUCAGAGGCCCACAAAGAUGGCAUGUGGUUAAAAUUUCCUCACUCUCUCUUUCUCUCUCUGUCUCUCUCUGCCCUCUCUCUCUGCCC